Culex pipiens pallens (northern house mosquito) is the source of this 628-nucleotide long non-coding RNA. RefSeq lists it as uncharacterized. NCBI's taxonomy places the organism in Eukaryota, Metazoa, Arthropoda, Insecta, Diptera, Culicidae. The record is from RefSeq and is a predicted model, not a curated record. The transcript is spliced from 2 exons.
CCGUGACGUCAUUUGACAGCUCGCGUGCACUGUUUACAUAGACUUGUCGUGUUCGAACGAAAAGUGCUGGGUAUUUUUUUUUUUAUUCAAAAUCGGCCGAAAUUACAAAAGUCAAGUGGAAACCGAAGGCGAAGUGGGCGGCAAACUUGUCUACAUGCUCGCUGAACCCGAACGAAAACGAAGCCGUGCUGCUGGCGGAGAUGGUCAAGCAAUGCCUUGUUCCGACGCUCUGCCUGGAAUGACCUACAGGGAACCGAUCACCAAGGACAUGCAAGUCCCAGAAAACUACCGCACCGUCUUCCGACCGCUUAUGCUCCAGCUCCAGCUCCCGAGGACAUGGUCAAGUUCAAUCUCGAGCGCUGCAUCCUCGCCAUCCUCCACCAGAAAAACACCGGCAGACUCUUCAUCGUCCUGUUUGAGAAGAAAAAGAAGCUGCUUUCGGAGGUUUUCCGUCGCCGAAGGCCUGCGAAGCGGAACCACUCCAAAAGAAGCUAAAACGCUACCACCGCAACCCGCUCAGGCCUAGGAGGGUCUCCAGAUUGUUAACGGAUGUAUCGGCGCAGAAUGGAGUACGCGUAUCGUGAGGAACGACAUGACCAAGCUGCUGUUUUAAAACAAUCCGGAGAAG